UUUCCGUAGGUGAACCUGCGGAAGGAUCAUUAUUGAAUGCUCUCGAUGGGUUGUAGCUGGCUCCUCGGAGCAUGUGCACACCCGUCUUGACUCUAUUCAUCCACCUGUGCACCUAUUGUAGUCUCGUCCUCUAUGUCUUUAUUCACAAACCAUGUAGUAUGUUGCAGAAUGUAUUCAAUGGGCCAUUGUGGUCUAUAAAACCUUAUACAACUUUCAGCAACGGAUCUCUUGGCUCUCGCAUCGAUGAAGAACGCAGCGAAAUGCGAUAAGUAAUGUGAAUUGCAGAAUUCAGUGAAUCAUCGAAUCUUUGAACGCACCUUGCGCUCCUUGGUAUUCCGAGGAGCAUGCCUGUUUGAGUGUCAGUAAAUUCUCAACCCUACCAGCUUUUGUGAGCUGGCACUUAGGGCUUGGAUGUGGAGGUUCUGCGGGCCGGUCGGCUCCUCUGAAAUGCAUUAGCGGAACCGUUUGCGAUCCGUCACAGGUGUGAUAAUUAUCUACGCCAGUGGGUUGCUCUCUGUUUGUUCAGCUUCCAACCGUCCUUCUGGACAAACAUACUGAACCUUUGACCUCAAAUCAGGUAGGACUACCCGCUGAACUUAA
RNAcentral lists this ribosomal RNA (600 nucleotides) under Cyphomyrmex faunulus fungal symbiont NJM-2012. RNAcentral describes it as "eukaryotic LSU rRNA". The stretch from base 209 to 362 matches the Rfam family "5.8S ribosomal RNA". Lineage: Eukaryota; Fungi; Basidiomycota; Agaricomycetes; Agaricales; Agaricaceae. The record is from RNAcentral.